Molecule: long non-coding RNA, 1051 nt
Organism: Gordionus sp. m RMFG-2023
Lineage: Eukaryota; Metazoa; Nematomorpha; Gordioida; Chordodea; Parachordodidae
Exons: 8
Source: RefSeq, a predicted model, not a curated record
AGUAAAAAAAAAAUAUAUAAAGUAUAUUUGUAUAUUUAAAAAUAAUAAUUAUAAUAAUUAAAAUAGAUUGCAGGAGUGGUUGUCCCUUAAAGAAGUGUAAUCCUUUUAGGGGUUCCUGUAUCUGUGAUAGGUUUAAAUAUGGAGCGAAUUGCGAUAUAGACUGCCCGUGCGAUCCGCUGGUCUCAUCCGGAUGCGAUAGUUUGGGUAGAUGCUUAUGCAAAGUUACCCCGGAAAACGUGACGCGAAAUGGUAGCUUAUGUCCCGACAAUAAAUUUUGCCGUGCGGAUGGUCAAUGCCGUUGUAGGGAUUGGAAAUAUGGGACUACAUGUGACAAAGAAUCCACCUGUAACAGAAAUAAUACAAUAUUGAACACACCCUUAGGUGGUUGUUUCUGCGAAUUGGGCUAUUACGGCGAUAAUUGUGAAUUCGAAUGUCGGACUGAUUGCCAAAAAUUUUUUUGGAAUAAUACAUGCAAGUAUAAUGGGAAUUGUUGGUGCUUAAGAAACUAUUACGGAACUCGAUGCGAAAAUAAAUGUAACUGUGGAAGUAACGAAUACUGUCAUGGUAUUAGAGGAUGUCUCCCGAAAGAACCCCGGAAAAGAUAUUUUAAAAAGCGAUUCGUAAGAUUAGCAAAUAAUCACUUCCCCAUUAUAUCCCAGCCGGUUAUGGCAGCCAUUAUCGAGAUCACGGACGACAAGCGGACUUAAAUAUUACCAAUAAAAUUUACGGCAGAAAAUCCCGCCUAAUAGUUCCUCCGAUGCAUAUUUGGAAUUUUUCCUUUUCAAAUAAUAAUUACGAGCCUUGCCUUUGUUGAUUCUCUAUCAUAUACAUAACUUACCUUCUGGGGACAAUCAACCUAUCACCACGCAGACGGAUUAAGACCCGAGGAAUGACUACGAUUCCUUGGGACCUCGGGGCAUAGUUUGAACGAAGAAAACGAAUAAAAGAAAUCGUAAAAAUUGAAACAAAAUAGCUUGGGAAUUUAAUAUUUUUCUUUAAGUUUUAUAAAUAUCAAUAAUUUAUAAAAAAUCAAAUUAUAUUUGUAAUUGGC